GGGACACGUGUGGAGAGCACAAGCCGGAAAUGGAAAAGCCGGUGCAAGCGAGGUAGGAGAUGAACAGGCAAAUCCGUUCAUCAAUCCGAAGACGUGAUGCGGACCGAAUUAAGAGUAGGGAAGUGUGUGAGCCAUGCGUCAAGAAAAGCCGCUAUUGUUUUACUUAAGCCCGUACCGUAAACCGACACAGGUGGAUGAGGAGGGAAUCCUAAGGCCGACGGGAGAAGCAUUGUUAAGGAACUCGGCAAAAUGACUCCGUAACUUCGGGAGAAGGAGUGCCAGCGAGAGCUGGCCGCAGAGAAUUGGCCCAAGCAACUGUUUAGCAAAAACACAGGUCUAUGCAAAACCGUAAGGUGAAGUAUAUGGGCUGACGCCUGCCCGGUGCUGGAAGGUUAAGAGGAGAGGUUAGCGGCAACGCGAAGCUUUGAAUUUAAGCCCCAGUAAACGGCGGCCGUAACAAUAACGGUCCUAAGGUAGCGAAAUUCCUUGUCGGGUAAGUUCAGACCCGCACGAAAGGCGUAAUGAUUUGGGCACUGUCUCAACAAUGCACCCGGUGAAAUUGAAAUACCAGUGAAGAUGCUGGUUACCUGCGCCAGGACGGAAAGACCCCAUGGAGCUUUACUCCAGCUUGAUACUGGGAUUCGGUAUUGCAUGUACAGGAUAGGUGGGAGGCUAGGAAGUGAUAACGCCAGUUGUCACGGAGCCGCUGUUGGGAUACCACCCUUGCAGUAUUGGAUUUCUAACCAGCGACCAUGAACUGGUCGGGGGACAAUGUCAGGUGGGGAGUUUGACUGGGGCGGUCGCCUCCGAAAGGGUAUCGGAGGCGCUCAAAGGUUCCCUCAGAAUGGACGGAAACCACUCGAAGAGUGCAAAGGCAGAAGGGAGCUUGACUGCGACACCGACGGGUGGAGCAGGUACGAAAGUAGGACUUAGUGAUCCGGUGGUAUAAAGUGGGAUUGCCAUCGCUCAACGGAUAAAAGCUACCCUGGGAUAACAGGCUUAUCACUCCCAAGAGUUCACAUCGACGGAGUGGUUUGGCACCUCGAUGUCGGCUCAUCGCAUCCUGGGGCUGAAGUAGGUCCCAAGGGUUGGGCUGUUCGCCCAUUAAAGCGGUACGCGAGCUGGGUUCAGAACGUCGUGAGACAGUUCGGUCCCUAUCCGGCGUGGGCGUAGGAUAUUUGAGAGGAGCUGUCCUUAGUACGAGAGGACCGGGAUGGACUGGCCGCUGGUGUAUCUGUUGCAUACCAAAUGCAUGGCAGAGUAGCCAAGCCGGGACGGGAUAAACGCUGAAGGCAUCUAAGCGUGAAGCCCCCCUCAAGAUGAGAUAUCCCUACGUAAGUAGUAAGACCCCUUGAAGACGACGAGGUAGAUAGGUCAGAGGUGGAAGUACAGUAAUGUAUGGAGCUGACUGAUACUAAUCGGUCGAGGGCAUGACCG
This 1437-nucleotide ribosomal RNA is filed under the name metagenome. RNAcentral describes it as "bacterial LSU rRNA". It matches the Rfam family "Bacterial large subunit ribosomal RNA", at positions 1469 to 2925 of the family's 2925-position model. The record is from RNAcentral.